CUUUGCCUCCGAAUUAUUGGUGUUACCUGUUUCAAAAUGGCUUCGAAACCGGUAAUGAAAAGGGAAUCAGGUGUAAAUCCUGAACAGACCCGCUGCUGUAAGCUCCGCUUACGUGCUGAACAUAUCACCUUUUGCCACUGAACAUACUGUUCGGGAAGGCGUUCAGACACCGGAGUAAGUCAGAAGACCUGCCCAUAAUUUAAAAAUAGU
This 210-nucleotide non-coding RNA is filed under the name Fermentimonas caenicola. Lineage: Bacteria; Pseudomonadati; Bacteroidota; Bacteroidia; Bacteroidales; Dysgonomonadaceae. The record is from RNAcentral.